UACGGAGGGGGCUAGCGUUGUUCGGAAUCACUGGGCGUAAAGCGCAUGUAGGCGGGUCGUUAAGUUGGGGGUGAAAUCCCGAGGCUCAACCUCGGAACUGCCUUCAAAACUGGCGACCUGGAGCAAGAUAGAGGCAAGUGGAAUUGCGAGUGUAGAGGUGAAAUUCGUAGAUAUUCGCAGGAACACCAGUGGCGAAGGCGACUUGCUGGAUCUUUGCUGACGCUGAGAUGCGAAAGCGUGGGGAGCAAACAGG
This 253-nucleotide ribosomal RNA is filed under the name uncultured bacterium. RNAcentral's name for it is "partial 16S ribosomal RNA". It matches the Rfam family "Bacterial small subunit ribosomal RNA", at positions 524 to 776 of the family's 1533-position model. The record is from RNAcentral.